GUAGAUUUCUACAACAAUUUGUUACUAGAUUACUUAUACUAGGACAUUAGUUGUUGAUACGAAAUCAAAAUUUACAACAUGCAGCAUAAUACACUAGGUUAACAUGAAAGGUAUAGUACACAUUUUGCUUACAGGAGAGCAGAAGGUCGUGAAAGUCAACACAUACAUCGCACAUGGUUUUCUUCCUUUAGCCUCUGAAAAGGCUUUUAAUCACGUCAAGUUCAUCACUCAACUUCACCACCAUCCAUCGCAAAAUUCGGAGGAGAGCAGUAAAAGAAUACAGUGCUGGUAGCGCCAGUUGUUCAGAAGUAUGAUAAACAAUCUUGAAAGGAGCAUAACAUCUUGUGCGAUUUCAUAGAAUAAAUCUUUGUGUGAAGAUAUUGACGUGUGUAUUGGGUUAUAGGGUGUCGAUAAGUGCCAUACGAACAAGAGUAAAUAUUAAUAAAUAAUUGAAAUGGGUAGCACGGAUAAAGCUGAGAUCACGGGUUUUAUAUGCAGACUUUGCAGUAAGAUGAACCGUUUCGUGAUCCACAUAUACGGUGAAGAGGGUGAGAGAAUGAAACUUGCUGAGAAAAUAAAUGCUUAUCUUCCAAUUACGUCAAACGAAGGUUAACUACUCAGAAUAAAUCAUCAACAGUUGCAUCAACCUCUACACAAACUGCUGAUACUGUACCAACAUCUAGCCCACCUCCUUGUUAACAUAUAGAAUUAAAAGCAUAAUUUCUCGCUCAAUAUUAUUAAACAUUUUCUGUAUAUCUUAUUUGUAUUGUUAUUUUAGUAAUUUAUUACUAGGGAAACAAAUUUUUUUUGUUAAAUGAAAAGAUAUAUAUAUAAUUGAUCAAUUGAUUCAGCAAUCUAUAGAAUUAUCUUUAAAAAUUUUAUAAAAUAUUUUCUUCUUAAAAUAUGUUGGUAAAUGUUUGUGAUGUGCAAAUUUAAUUUACUGUAUAAACUUUUUUAUUUUUUACACCAGAUAUUACAGAUAUUUUUUAUUGAUACUAUAAUAUAAAAUAUAUGAAUAAUUAUAUUUUGUUUGUAUUUCACAUUUCCAAAAAAAUUGGAAUUUUUUUUUCUUGACUAGUAAUCAGCAAUAAUAAAGUUAUAGAUAUGUUUAUGUAAAUGAUAUAUCCAAUGAAUAUUUUUAGGCAUGUUUAAUAAUGUUCAAAUUAUUGAAUUAAUAUUUUAUUUGAUGUAUCUUGUAUAGUUUUUAUUAAUAGAAAUUUUUAAACAUCUUUUAAUACUCUAGGAUAAUAUUGUUUCUUUAACAGAUCUAUACUACUGGUGUACAAAGAUAAAUAGAUAGAUAUGUCAAAGUGAUUUCUUAGAAUAUUAAAUGAUGUUAUAUUAUAUAAUUGAAUGUAAAAAUAAGAAAUUUAGUUGGCAAAGUUUUUAAUAAUAUUGUGUAUUAGAUAUAUACAAGAUUGUCAAUACUAAUGUACAUUAAACCAAUCAUGUUACUAUUCAUCCUUUACUAUUAAAUAUCAAUAGUUUUAAUAUGUCAACUUUUAUAUAUAAUAUGGUACAAAGUAUAAUGAAAAAGUAUCUGCAUAAUUAUAUUAUAUUAACAUAUAUUAUUCCACAGAGUUUAACAAAAUUUGAAU
RNAcentral lists this unclassified non-coding RNA (1598 nucleotides) under Bombus terrestris (buff-tailed bumblebee). Its description in RNAcentral is "misc RNA ENSBTSG00005029218.1". Lineage: Eukaryota; Metazoa; Arthropoda; Insecta; Hymenoptera; Apidae. The record is from RNAcentral.